GCCACAAACUUGGUUUAAAUAUUAUAAAAACACAAGCAUAUACACUUUCACAAAAAGGAAAAUAAAUGUGAACUUGUGAAGUGCAAUAAGCCAAUAACAGUAGUCAGUAGCAACUCAGCCGUGGACCUCAGCUUAUAUAUCUCUCUCAAUCUUGGCUUAGGAAAAUAAACGUGAAGUGCAUAUCACUGAUAUGGAAACAGUACCAACAAUUCAAGAGCAACAACGCCCCUAAACAAGAGCAUAUCACUGAUAUGGAAACACUGAAAUAGUAGCAGAAACUAGCAGUAGCAGAAGAUGAACAUGUGAACCAACACCCCCCUCUGAACAACAGAACAAGUGCAAUAACAGUAAUUCAGUAGCAGCUGCCAACUAGCAACAUAAUUUAACAGUAGCAGAAAAUAGAAAUGCCGACCAAAGUCUAACAGUACCAGGCUACCAGCAGUGCAAACAAUAGCAGAAAUGCAAAAUUAGUCUAACAGUACCAGCAGUGCAACAAAAAAACAAAAUUAAGUCAAUUAACAGAAGCAACAGAUUCUGAUUCUUAAAUACGGAUUCCAGAAAGAUGCUCAAGACAACGUCUAAUAUGCUUCCUUAACCAAUAUGUUCCAUUCCUCUUUGGAUUAACAUUAUAGUCUUGACCACAAUGCUUGCACUCUACUUUGCGAACUUCUCUGUUAUGUUCUUUCACCUCAAAGUGUUCACAAAUCAGAGCGUACUUUAGGAGCACGGGCAUGGUUGCACUUGAACCUAAAAAAAAUAUAAAUCAUAAGUUAGAAUAUUAUAUUUUGAUGAUAAUAAAACAAAACUACAAAAGUAUAUUACCAAACAAAUAGAGUAUUAAACUUACCACUCAAGUUGCAAGUUGCAACUAUACAUUAAACAAUGCUAGUAGUGCUUCCAUUAUUUUCCAUAUCUAAAGAUAAUUCGACCAGAUAUGCCAUACAAAUAAACAAGUAUGAUAUAUUAUUUUGAACAAAAAUACAUACAAAAUAUUAAAGCUUACCAAGCUCGAGUUCCUCAAGAUACUUCAAAUCUUCUACAACAGUAAUAGGAUUCUUCUCUUCUCUAAGCCAAUGUUGAACACAAAUAAGAGCUUGCACACAUUUAGGAGUCAAUGAAAUCCUAAAUGAUCAAGAAUACAGCCACCGGUGCUAAACACGCAUUCCGAUGCUACACUAGAAAUUGGAAUGGCCAACACAUCACGAGCCAACUUCGAAAGAAUAGGAAAUCUAGGAGAAUGUGUUUUCCACCAACUUAAGAUAUCAAAUUCUUCACUAAAAGGCGCUUGUUCUUCACUAAUGUAUUUAUACAACUCCGAUUUAGUACCCCACUUCCAUUGUCUUCCUUUUGUUUCUUCAAGUGUAGCUUCAUCCUUAUUAAAGAUGCACUUAUAACACUCUCACUAGAUGUAUUAGAUGUGUUGUUAGAUGAAGUAGAACUAGAUGGAGAUUGAGGAUAAAAUUCGGUUGAAUAUUUUUUUAGAUACUCUCCAAACAAAGAAUUCAUAUAAGCAUACACCUCAGCAUUUAUUUUCUUUCCUUUUUCCUCCCCAAAAAGUUCUUCAAGUGCUCCCUCAACAUAUUCAAAUUUGUUAUGUGGAUCCAAGACGGAAGCAAUAAAAAUUAUUAUAUUCAUCUUUUCAGGCUCACCCCAAUACUUCUUGAACUUUUCUUGCAUUCACUCAGCCAUUUUUCUCAAAUGCUCAUCCUGACUAGCUAAACACAUUUUUAAAUGAUAAUAAAGUUCAAAUACAUCCUCAAAAUGAGAAUUACAAGUGACAUAACGUGAACCUGAAACUUUUUUUAGUUAGCUCGUGAAAUCUUGCAAGAAACUCUAUCACAUUCCUCACAUUCACCCAAUCAUCAAAUUCAAGAGGAACUGCACUACUACCAUCUUCAAAAAGAUGAGGACAUUGAUAGGCAGAAAAUCCAUCAUAAAAAAGAUGCAACUUGUCAAAGGCCUUUUCAAAGUGUUGUGCCGUAUCCAACAUCAAAUAGGUGGAAUUCCACCUAGUAGAAACAUCUAAACACAACGUUUUGGUACAUUCUACCUUUACAUGUACACAACAUUGUUUAAACUUUAAUGUCCUUGCAAGCGAAAAUCUCACAUACCUCACAAUAUUGAACAUCCAAACACAGCGUUUUGGUACAUUAUACCUUUACAUGUGCACAACACUUUUUAAACUUUAAGGUCCUUGCGGGCAAAGAUCUCACAUACCUCACAAUAUUUCUAACACGUGUCACAGAAGCAUCAAGUACUUUCAAACCAUCUUGCACAAUUAUAUUUAGAAUAUGAGCCAUGCAUCUCACAUGAGGAUGUUUACCACUCAUCAUAUUAGUUUUCCACAUAUCUAACUAUUUAGACAAUUCUUUGACUAUGACAUCAUUUGAAGAAGCAUUGUCCACGGUAAUAGUGAAAACCUUAUCUAAUUUCCAUUCAAGCAAACAAUCCCUAAUAGCUUUAGCCAUCUGUUCACCCUUAUGACUAGUGAUAGGGCAAAAAUUUAGUAUUCUUUUAUGCAACUUCCAAUCCCUAUCAAUAAAGUGGGCUGUUAAACACAUAUAAUUUAUUCUUUGUAAUGAAGUCCAUGUGUAUGUUGUGAGGCAAAUUUUUGGUUGUGCUUCUCUAAAAGAACUUCUUAGAUUUUGCUUCAAUUCAUCGUAAACUUCGUAACAAUCCCUUGUUAUUGUUCUACGAGAAGGAAGACGAAAUAGUGGUUGAGUUUUUCUCAUAAACUUCAUAAAGCCUUCCCGUAAACUUCAUAACAAUCCCUUGUUAUUGUUCUACGAGAAGGAAGACGAAAUAGUGGUUGAGUUUUUCUCGUAAACUUCAUAAAUCUUUCAUUUUCUACAAAGUUAAAUGGUAGUUUAUCAAUAACUAUCAUCUCAAUUAAGGCCCUCCUAACUACCUUUUGAUCAAAUUUCCAAAUUGAUCCUUUAUCAUUUUGGCAAGAUUGAAAAUUUAUCUUUGUUUGACUAUUAUAUUUAGUAAUGUUAAGUGAGUAUUUUUUGCAUCUAAGCAAAUGAUUCUUCAAUCCUGUUGUUCCAUUCUUAGAUGAAUUAGCAGCAUAAGCUUGUUUACAAUAUCGACACUGCGGUUUUCCAAUCCCAUUAACCUCAAAUUUAUCAAAAUGGUUCCAAACGCCAGACCUAGGUUGCAUGGAUUUCCUUUUCUUGGAAUCUUGAGUAUCAAUGGUGUUGGUGUUACUAUCUACCGUAAUAGGUAAACUUUCACUUGAACCACCAUCACUUACUCUACUUGUAUCUGCCAUCUAUACAAAAUUAAAUAAAUAUAAACAUAAAUCAAGAAUCAAGAGCUAAUGGCUGAUUUCCAUACAGGUAGAUAAAGUAUGCCCAACCAAAACUAAAAUUCUAAUGAAUGGAUAAGCGGAAUUUAACUCUAGUUAGUUUUAAGUAAACUAGAAGGAAUAAUGCAUGGGAUCUGACUCUAUAAAAGGACCACAACUACUCAUGAGAAUGAUUAAAUAUCUGGCUCCAUGGUAGUAUGAGAAUUCAUGGCUAAAAUACAUUAUUUGAUCCUUCAAACAAGGGCUUGAUUCCUACAUUAGUUAUGCUUGCAUUUGGAAUACACAUUCAAAGAGUAAUAUGAAUAGAACUAAAAAUUGCCCUAAAAAUUCGAUUAUUUCUUCAAUGUCCAGUCAGAUUAAUAUGAACAGAACUACACAUGGGUCAAACACAUAGAAAAUGCAAUAUAUAUUUUAGAUACUUGCCCUAUUUUUCGAGAAAGUAUGAGUUUAGGGUUGGGUGGGGGUUUAUUGUUUUCUAUCAUGAAAAAAUAAUAAAUGAUCAGAUUCAUCAUGGAAAAUGAAAUAUCAAUGUAGGAUCGAGCUCGGAAUAGCAGUUCAUUCAAUCAGUAGUUCAGUACAACAACAAAAACGAAAUAUACCUUUGAAAUUGAAUCGAGCUCGGAAGAGGACAACGUCGUGUUCGACUUUUCGUUUGCUCGGAAUUUGUGAGGAGUGAGGAAUCGAAUCGAGGUGGAAAUCACCUAAUGCACUAAUCGCCUACUCACAGUACUCAAUAUAAGUAUCGUUGUCUAUGUCUAUCAGUACUCCUAAGUUCCUAACCUGAUGAAUUAGCAUUAGACUUUAGAGACUAAAGUGGGUUGGGGCGGGCGAUGGCCUGUUGGAAACUUGGAAUUAAAAUUAGGAG
This 4172-nucleotide long non-coding RNA is filed under the name Nicotiana benthamiana. Its description in RNAcentral is "long non-coding RNA (NBEN_LNC007709)". Lineage: Eukaryota; Viridiplantae; Streptophyta; Magnoliopsida; Solanales; Solanaceae. The record is from RNAcentral.